Cricetulus griseus (Chinese hamster) is the source of this 657-nucleotide non-coding RNA. The record is from RefSeq and is a predicted model, not a curated record. Lineage: Eukaryota; Metazoa; Chordata; Mammalia; Rodentia; Cricetidae.
CCUCUGCAGGAAGAGAAAACAGCCAUGGCUUUCACGUCUCAGAAAUCGACCUCACAACCCAGGCCUAGGCCGCCAAGGAGGGAGUAUGAAAGCAGGAAUGCAAGACUUCAUUCACCCAUAUUCCCUUUCAGUGACUCCUUUUGUUUUGUUUUGUUUUGUUUUGUUGUUGUAAAACUAGGGCUGAUCUCACACACUUUUACAGGGCAAAAUUCCAUUUUGUAUGUUCAGGCUCUCCAAAAGCUCCUUACUCCUUGUCUUGGGGAAGUGUUCCAUCCACCUGUCCCAGCAGAAAGACAUCCCAAGCUGAAUGGAAAGACAUAGAAGCCAACAGGGAAAGGAUGCCUCAUAAGCACUCACAUACAUCUAGGAUUUGAGCCCAAAGAAACCUGCCAUCUCUCUCUUAUCAGGAUGUGAUCUCUCAGCUGUUGCUCCAGCACCAUGCCUGCCUACCUGCUACAUGUCCCUUGCUAUGAUGGUCAUAGCCCGUAGCCUUCUGGAACUGUGAACUUUUAUAAAUUGCCUUAGUCAUGAUGUCUCAUCAUGGCAACAGAAAAGUAACUAAGACAGGUUCUCUCUUUGGUUUUGCAUCCUGAAGAUGUCCCUUUGAUCAUAAUAUAUUGACAUAAUGACAUAAAUAAAAUUAUGUUGCAAUGGUCA